Struthio camelus australis is the source of this 446-nucleotide long non-coding RNA. RefSeq lists it as uncharacterized. Lineage: Eukaryota; Metazoa; Chordata; Aves; Struthioniformes; Struthionidae. The record is from RefSeq and is a predicted model, not a curated record.
AUCUAACUCUGGCUUAGAUAAAUUACAUCUCUAACUCUGUCAGCCAUGAAAGAUUGAAAAAAGCAUAACCGAGAUAUGUGAGUUCCAUGAAAUUCUAAACAGCUUGCCUCCCAUAAGGGUGAGCUUCAAUGGAAGCUUCCUGAUUGCUUGCAAAGACACAGAUUGUCUAAAUCUUUCUGUUGCAGCAGUAUCCCUUCCCUUCAACAACGGACCUCCCGCCAGCCUGACUUCUAUGAUUCUGCCAUUCUAACUUCGUAUGCCAGUUCUUCUGUUGGAGCAAAGGAAUUGGGGGAAGAAAAGCAUCUCAGUUAAAACUGGGAUACCCUCAGAAGCUUCAUUUCCAAGACUUUUAUCUGAUGAGCACCCGGAUGCCAACAGCUUGCCUGGUGCUCUGUGGCCCUGAGGGAAGCACGCUGGAUGCACCUGUGUCAAGCACUCUGGGAUUU